This 64-nucleotide transfer RNA is filed under the name Histeroidea sp. 4 KM-2017. RNAcentral's name for it is "tRNA-Pro". Lineage: Eukaryota; Metazoa; Arthropoda; Insecta; Coleoptera. The record is from RNAcentral.
CAGAGAAUAGUUUAAAUAAAAUAUCAGUUUUGGAGAUUGAUGAUAAGUUCAUACUUUUUUCUGA